GCAAACUUGGUCAUUUAGAGGAAGUAAAAGUCGUAACAAGGUUUCCGUAGGUGAACCUGCGGAAGGAUCAUUACAAGGUUUAACUGUCGUUCGCCUUUUUGGCGGGUCGGCAGACCCACGAUUCAUCCCGUGUGCACUCAUUGAAAAAGGCCUCGGCCGCAAGGCGAGGACUUUUUCUCAAACGCGCUUUAAUUUUGACUGAUGUUUUGAUAAAAUAAAGUGAAAUACAACUUUCAACAACGGAUCUCUUGGCUCUCGCAUCGAUGAAGAACGCAGC
RNAcentral lists this unclassified non-coding RNA (277 nucleotides) under uncultured fungus. RNAcentral describes it as "partial contains small subunit ribosomal RNA, internal transcribed spacer 1, and 5.8S ribosomal RNA". The stretch from base 1 to 73 matches the Rfam family "Eukaryotic small subunit ribosomal RNA", at positions 1759 to 1831 of the family's 1831-position model. The record is from RNAcentral. Lineage: Eukaryota; Fungi.